GACGAACGCUGGCGGCGUGCUUAACACAUGCAAGUCGAACGGAAAGGCCCUGCCUUUGUGGGGUGCUCGAGUGGCGAACGGGUGAGUAACACUUGAGUAACCUGCCCUUGACUUUGGGAUAACUUCAGGAAACUGGGGCUAAUACCGGCUAGGAGCUCCUGCUGCAUGGUGGGGGUUGGAAAGUUUCGGCGGUUGGGGAUGUACUCGCGGCUUAUCAGCUUGUUGGUGGGGUAGUGGCUUACCAAGGCUUUGACGGGUAGCCGGCCUGAGAGGGUGACCGGCCACGUUGGGACGGAGAUACGGCCCAGACUCGUACGGGAGGCAACGGUGGGGAAUGUUGCACAGUGGGCGGGGGCCAGGUGUGGCAACGCCGCGUGCGGGAUGACGGCCUUCGGGUUGUAAACCACUGUCGCCUGUGACGAGGCGAGAGUGACGGUAAUGGGUGAAGAAGCACCGGCUAACUACGUG
This 468-nucleotide ribosomal RNA is filed under the name uncultured bacterium. RNAcentral describes it as "partial 16S ribosomal RNA". It matches the Rfam family "Bacterial small subunit ribosomal RNA", at positions 28 to 507 of the family's 1533-position model. The record is from RNAcentral.